This 127-nucleotide small RNA is filed under the name Marmota monax (woodchuck). The record is from RNAcentral. Lineage: Eukaryota; Metazoa; Chordata; Mammalia; Rodentia; Sciuridae.
GCCGGGCAUGUUGGCCCAUGCUUGUAAUUCCAGUUGCUAGGGAGGCUGAAGCAGGAGGAUCACGAGUUUAAAGCCAGCAUCAACAACUGAGUAAGGCCCUAAACAACUCAGCGAGACCCUGUCUCUA